UACGUAGGGGGCAAGCGUUAUCCGGAUUUACUGGGUGUAAAGGGAGCGUAGACGGAAUGGCAAGUCUGAAGUGAAAUGCCCGGGCUCAACCCGGGAACUGCUUUGGAAACUGUCGAUCUGGAGUGUUGGAGAGGUAAGUGGAAUUCCUGGUGUAGCGGUGAAAUGCGUAGAGAUCAGGAAGAACACCGGAGGCGAAGGCGGCUUACUGGACAAAGACUGACGUUGAGGCUCGAAAGCGUGGGAAGCAAACAGGAUUAGAUACCCUGGUAGUCAAGGC
Molecule: ribosomal RNA, 277 nt
Filed under: uncultured Lachnospiraceae bacterium
Lineage: Bacteria; Bacillati; Bacillota; Clostridia; Lachnospirales; Lachnospiraceae
Description: partial 16S ribosomal RNA
Rfam family: Bacterial small subunit ribosomal RNA
Source: RNAcentral